This 1032-nucleotide ribosomal RNA is filed under the name uncultured bacterium. RNAcentral describes it as "bacterial SSU rRNA". It matches the Rfam family "Bacterial small subunit ribosomal RNA", at positions 336 to 1393 of the family's 1533-position model. The record is from RNAcentral.
CUCCUACGGGAGGCAGCAGUGGGGAAUAUUGCACAAUGGGGGAAACCCUGAUGCAGCGACGCCGCGUGGAGGAAGAAGGUCUUCGGAUUGUAAACUCCUGUUGUUGAGGAAGAUAAUGACGGUACUCAACAAGGAAGUGACGGCUAACUACGUGCCAGCAGCCGCGGUAAAACGUAGGUCACAAGCGUUGUCCGGAAUUACUGGGUGUAAAGGGAGCGCAGGCGGGAGAACAAGUUGGAAGUGAAAUCCAUGGGCUCAACCCAUGAACUGCUUUCAAAACUGUUUUUCUUGAGUAGUGCAGAGGUAGGCGGAAUUCCCGGUGUAGCGGUGGAAUGCGUAGAUAUCGGGAGGAACACCAGUGGCGAAGGCGGCCUACUGGGCACCAACUGACGCUGAGGCUCGAAAGUGUGGGUAGCAAACAGGAUUAGAUACCCUGGUAGUCCACACCGUAAACGAUGAUUACUAGGUGUUGGAGGAUUGACCCCUUCAGUGCCGCAGUUAACACAAUAAGUAAUCCACCUGGGGAGUACGACCGCAAGGUUGAAACUCAAAGGAAUUGACGGGGGCCCGCACAAGCAGUGGAGUAUGUGGUUUAAUUCGACGCAACGCGAAGAACCUUACCAAGUCUUGACAUCCCUUGACGAUGCUGGAAACAGCAUUUCUCUUCGGAGCAAGGAGACAGGUGGUGCAUGGUUGUCGUCAGCUCGUGUCGUGAGAUGUUGGGUUAAGUCCCGCAACGAGCGCAACCCUUAUGGUCAGUUACUACGCAAGAGGACUCUGGCCAGACUGCCGUUGACAAAACGGAGGAAGGUGGGGAUGACGUCAAAUCAUCAUGCCCUUUAUGACUUGGGCUACACACGUACUACAAUGGCGUUAAACAAAGAGAAGCAAGACCGCGAGGUGGAGCAAAACUCAGAAACAACGUCCCAGUUCGGACUGCAGGCUGCAACUCGCCUGCACGAAGUCGGAAUUGCUAGUAAUCGUGGAUCAGCAUGCCACGGUGAAUACGUUCCCGGGCCUUGUACACACCGC